Molecule: ribosomal RNA, 549 nt
Filed under: uncultured Glomus
Lineage: Eukaryota; Fungi; Glomeromycota; Glomeromycetes; Glomerales; Glomeraceae
Description: SSU rRNA
Rfam family: Eukaryotic small subunit ribosomal RNA
Source: RNAcentral
UUGGAGGGCAAGUCUGGUGCCAGCAGCCGCGGUAAUUCCAGCUCCAAUAGCGUAUAUUAAAGUUGUUGCAGUUAAAAAGCUCGUAGUUGAAUUUCGGGAUCAAUAUAUCGGUCGUGCCAUUGGUACGUACUGGUAUCAUUGGUUUCUCCUUUCUGACGAACCAUGAUGUCAUUAAUUUGGUGUCAUAGGGAAUCAGGACUGUUACUUUGAAAAGAUUAGAGUGUUUAAAGCAAGCUCACGCUUGAAUACAUUAGCAUGGAAUAAUGAAAUAGGACGUUUGAUUCUAUUUUGUUGGUUUCUAGGAUCAACGUAAUGAUUAAUAGGGAUAGUUGGGGGCAUUAGUAUUCAAUUGUCAGAGGUGAAAUUCUUGGAUUUAUUGAAGACUAACUACUGCGAAAGCAUUUGCCAAGGAUGUUUUCAUUAAUCAAGAACGAAAGUUAGGGGAUCGAAGACGAUCAGAUACCGUCGUAGUCUUAACCAUAAACUAUGCCGACUAGGGAUCGGAUGAUGUUAAUUUUUUAAUGACUCAUUCGGCGCCUUACGGGAAAC